Molecule: long non-coding RNA, 202 nt
Filed under: Malus domestica (apple)
Lineage: Eukaryota; Viridiplantae; Streptophyta; Magnoliopsida; Rosales; Rosaceae
Description: long non-coding RNA (MDOM_LNC001742)
Source: RNAcentral
UUGAAAAUGGCUUGUUUUUCUCCUUUUAGAUUCCACCAUCUAGUCCUUGGGCACUUCCAAGUCUUGUUUUUUUUUCUCACUCUUUUGAUAUGUACAUCCAUCACCAACAAGCGAUGUUGAUUAGCCAAGCUCUCUCCCGAUAUAACUUUGCAAUCCUUACAAGUUAUACGAUCCCCUUUCCUCAUUAGAAGAAAAUCUAUUU